This 222-nucleotide unclassified non-coding RNA is filed under the name Hevea brasiliensis (rubber tree). Lineage: Eukaryota; Viridiplantae; Streptophyta; Magnoliopsida; Malpighiales; Euphorbiaceae. The record is from RNAcentral.
GAGGAAGAAAAUAGUGAAAGAAAAUAAACUGAUAAAAGAAUCUAGAUUUUUUUUUAAUAAGAAAUUUCAAGAAGCUCAACAGGAUUUUAGUACAAUCCAUAAUUAUUUCAAGAACUUCAAGAAAUAGGGAACCAAAACUAGAAAUAGAGAAUGGAAUCCCUUAGAAUGAAUUGAGAACGAAAUUAAUUAAGAAAAGAGAUAGAAAGAGAGAAAAGAAUCAAA